RNAcentral lists this long non-coding RNA (278 nucleotides) under Lonchura striata (white-rumped munia). RNAcentral's name for it is "domestica (Bengalese finch) lncRNA (ENSLSDG00000004174.1)". The record is from RNAcentral. Lineage: Eukaryota; Metazoa; Chordata; Aves; Passeriformes; Estrildidae.
GGCGCGGAGGGGGCGGGGCCAGUCGGGACCCCCCGAGCGCCGCCGCCAUGCCCGAGGCCAAGGCCGCUGCCAAAAAAGAGGCGAAAAAGGAGAAAAAAGAGAAAAAAGAAGAGAAAAAAGAGGAGAAAAAAGAGGAACAAAAUGAGGAGAAAAAAGACGAAAUUGGGCAAAAGGCGGCGGGGGAGGGGCCCGAGGAGCCCCCGAAAGAGCCCAAGGAUGAUUUGGAGGAGCUGAACCCCCCCGGACCCCCCGACCCGGACGGGCUGUUCCUGAGCCAG